ACGUACACUCCUGCGGGAGGCAGCAGUGAGGAAUAUUGGACAAUGGGUGGAAGCCUGAUCCAGCCAUCCCGCGUGCAGGAAGACGGCCCUAUGGGUUGUAAACUGCUUUUAUCUGGGGAUAAACCUACUUACGUGUAAGUAGCUGAAGGUACCAGAAGAAUAAGCACCGGCUAACUCCGUGCCAGCAGCCGCGGUAAUACGGAGGGUGCAAGCGUUAUCCGGAUUUAUUGGGUUUAAAGGGUCCGUAGGCGGACUGAUAAGUCAGUGGUGAAAUCCGACAGCUUAACUGUCGAACUGCCAUUGAUACUGUUAGGCUUGAGUAAGGUUGAAGUGGCUGGAAUAAGUAGUGUAGCGGUGAAAUGCAUAGAUAUUACUUAGAACACCAAUUGCGAAGGCAGGUCACUAAGUCUUAACUGACGCUGAUGGACGAAAGCGUGGGGAGCGAACAGGAUUAGAAACCCCUGUAGUCCCAUG
This 474-nucleotide ribosomal RNA is filed under the name uncultured organism. Its description in RNAcentral is "partial 16S ribosomal RNA". It matches the Rfam family "Bacterial small subunit ribosomal RNA", at positions 329 to 799 of the family's 1533-position model. The record is from RNAcentral.